AUAGUCUAGAGUGAGGGAGAGGCAGAUGGAAUUGGUGGUGUAGGGGUAAAAUCCGUAGAUAUCACCAAGAAUACCCAUUGCGAAGGCGAUCUGCUGGAACUCAACUGACGCUAAGGCGCGAAAGCGUGGGGAGCAAACAGGAUUAGAUACCCUGGUAGUCCACGCCCUAAACGAUGUACACUAGUUGUUGGGGUGCUAGUCAUCUCAGUAAUGCAGCUAACGCAUUAAGUGUACCGCCUGGGGAGUACGGUCGCAAGAUUAAAACUCAAAGGAAUAGACGGGGACCCGCACAAGCGGUGGAGCAUGUGGUUUAAUUCGAAGAUACGCGAAGAACCUUACCUGGGCUUGAUAUCCUAAGAACCUUUUAGAGAUAAGAGGGUGCUAGCUUGCUAGAACUUAGAGACAGGUGCUGCACGGCUGUCGUCAGCUCGUGUCGUGAGAUGUUGGGUUAAGUCCCGCAACGAGCGCAACCCACGUAUUUAGUUGCUAACGGUUCGGCCGAGCACUCUAAAUAGACUGCCUUCGUAAGGAGGAGGAAGGUGUGGACGACGUCAAGUCAUCAUGGCCCUUAUGCCCAGGGCGACACACGUGCUACAAUGGCAUAUACAAUGAGACGCAAUACCGCGAGGUGGAGCAAAUCUAUAAAAUAUGUCCCAGUUCGGAUUGUUCUCUGCAACUCGAGAGCAUGAAGCCGGAAUCGCUAGUAAUCGUAGAUCAGCCAUGCUACGGUGAAUACGUUCCCGGGUCUUGUACUCACCGCCCGUCACACCAUGGGAGUUGAUUUCACUCGAAGCCGGAAUACUAAAUG
Molecule: ribosomal RNA, 808 nt
Filed under: Campylobacter sp.
Lineage: Bacteria; Pseudomonadati; Campylobacterota; Epsilonproteobacteria; Campylobacterales; Campylobacteraceae
Description: bacterial SSU rRNA
Rfam family: Bacterial small subunit ribosomal RNA
Source: RNAcentral